Molecule: ribosomal RNA, 484 nt
Filed under: uncultured bacterium
Lineage: Bacteria
Description: bacterial SSU rRNA
Rfam family: Bacterial small subunit ribosomal RNA
Source: RNAcentral
CUACGUGCCAGCAGCCGCGGUAAUACGGAGGGUGCGAGCGUUAAUCGGAAUAACUGGGCGUAAAGGGCACGCAGGCGGUGACUUAAGUGAGGUGUGAAAGCCCCGGGCUUAACCUGGGAAUUGCAUUUCAUACUGGGUCGCUAGAGUACUUUAGGGAGGGGUAGAAUUCCACGUGUAGCGGUGAAAUGCGUAGAGAUGUGGAGGAAUACCGAAGGCGAAGGCAGCCCCUUGGGAAUGUACUGACGCUCAUGUGCGAAAGCGUGGGGAGCAAACAGGAUUAGAUACCCUGGUAGUCCACGCUGUAAACGAUGUCGAUUUGGGGGUUGAACUUUAGGUUUGGCGCCCGUAGCUAACGUGAUAAAUCGACCGCCUGGGGAGUACGGCCGCAAGGUUAAAACUCAAAUGAAUUGACGGGGGCCCGCACAAGCGGUGGAGCAUGUGGUUUAAUUCGAUGCAACGCGAAGAACCUUACCUACUCUUGACA